UACGUAGGGGGCAAGCGUUAUCCGGAAUUACUGGGCGUAAAGCGCACGCAGGCGGUUUGCCAAGUCUGGAGUGACAGUUGUCGGCUCAACCGAUAAAGGACUUCAAAAACUGGUGAACUUGAGGACGAGAGAGGAACAUGGAACUCCAGGUGUAGUAGUGAAAUGCGUAGAUAUCUGGAAGAACACCAAUGGCGAAGGCAAUGUUCUGGCUCGUUUCUGACGCUCAGGUGCGAAAGCCAGGGGAGCGAACGGG
Molecule: ribosomal RNA, 253 nt
Filed under: uncultured bacterium
Lineage: Bacteria
Description: partial 16S ribosomal RNA
Rfam family: Bacterial small subunit ribosomal RNA
Source: RNAcentral